AUUCCAGCUCCAAUAGCGUAUAUUAAUGUUGUUGCAGUUAAAAAGCUCGUAGUUGGAUUUCUGGCAGGAGCGACCGGUCCGCCGCAAGGUGUGCACUAGGUUGUCUCCAGUCAUCUUUGUGGGAACUGCUCUGGCAUUAGUUUGUCGGGGUUAGGGAACACAUCGUUUACUGUGAAAAAAUUAGAGUGUUUAAAGCAGGCUUAUGCCGUUGAAUACAUUAGCAUGGAAUAAUAAGAUAGGACUUUGGCGUCUAUUUUGUUGGUUUGCACACCAAGGUAAUGAUUAAUAGGGAUAGUUGGGGGUAUUCGUAUUUAAUUGUCAGAGGUGAAAUUCUUGGAUUUAUGAAAGACGAACUUCUGCGAAAGCAUUUACCAAAGAUGUUUUCAUCA
RNAcentral lists this ribosomal RNA (389 nucleotides) under Stramenopiles sp. MAST-1C. RNAcentral's name for it is "partial small subunit ribosomal RNA". It matches the Rfam family "Eukaryotic small subunit ribosomal RNA", at positions 582 to 975 of the family's 1831-position model. The record is from RNAcentral.